CCUACGGGAGGCAGCAGUGGGGAAUAUUGGACAAUGGGCGAAAGCCUGAUCCAGCCAUGCCGCGUGUGUGAAGAAGGCCUUCGGGUUGUAAAGCACUUUCAGUGGGGAAGAAAGCCUUGGGGCUAAUACCCUCGAGGAAGGACAUCACCCACAGAAGAAGCACCGGCUAACUCCGUGCCAGCAGCCGCGGUAAUACGGAGGGUGCGAGCGUUAAUCGGAAUUACUGGGCGUAAAGCGCGCGUAGGCGGUCUGAUAAGCCGGUUGUGAAAGCCCCGGGCUCAACCUGGGAACGGCAUCCGGAACUGUCAGGCUAGAGUGCAGGAGAGGAAGGUAGAAUUCCCGGUGUAGCAGUGAAGUGCGUAGAGAUCGGGAGGAAUACCAGUGGCGAAGGCGGCCUUCUGGACUGACACUGACGCUGAGGUGCGAAAGCGUGGGUAGCAAACAGGAUUAGAUACCCGUGUAGUC
RNAcentral lists this ribosomal RNA (465 nucleotides) under Vreelandella stevensii. RNAcentral's name for it is "partial 16S ribosomal RNA". It matches the Rfam family "Bacterial small subunit ribosomal RNA", at positions 338 to 795 of the family's 1533-position model. Lineage: Bacteria; Pseudomonadati; Pseudomonadota; Gammaproteobacteria; Oceanospirillales; Halomonadaceae. The record is from RNAcentral.